Molecule: transfer RNA, 66 nt
Filed under: Capsala katsuwoni
Lineage: Eukaryota; Metazoa; Platyhelminthes; Monogenea; Capsalidea; Capsalidae
Description: tRNA-Asn
Source: RNAcentral
GCAUGUAUAGAUUAUAUAAAAUCGCAAGGCUGUUAACUUUGAGAAGUCCCUUUGGGGCUGCAAGCG